RNAcentral lists this ribosomal RNA (513 nucleotides) under uncultured bacterium. Its description in RNAcentral is "partial 16S ribosomal RNA". It matches the Rfam family "Bacterial small subunit ribosomal RNA", at positions 28 to 523 of the family's 1533-position model. The record is from RNAcentral.
GACGAACGCUGGCGGCAUGCCUAAUACAUGCAAGUCGAGCGAACAGAUGAAGUGCUUGCACUUCUGACGUUAGCGGCGAACGGGUGAGUAACACGUAGGGAAUCUACCUAUAAGCGGGGGAUAACAUUCGGAAACGGGUGCUAAUACCGCAUAAUAUCUUCUUCCGCAUGGAAGAAGAUUGAAAGACGGCUCUGCUGUCACUUAUAGACGACCUUGCGGUGCAUUAGUUAGUUGGUGGGGUAAUGGCCUACCAAGACGAUGAUGCAUAGCCGACCUGAGAGGGUGAUCGGCCACAUUGGGACUGAGACACGGCCCAAACUCCUACGGGAGGCAGCAGUAGGGAAUCUUCCGCAAUGGGCGAAAGCCUGACGGAGCAAUGCCGCGUGAGUGAAGAAGGCCUUCGGGUCGUAAAACUCUGUUAUAAGAGAAGAACAAAUUGUAGAGUAACCGCUACAGUCUUGACGGUAUCUUAUCAGAAAGCCACGGCUAACUACGUGCCAGCCGCCGCCGUAA